UACGAAGGGGGCUAGCGUUGCUCGGAAUGACUGGGCGUAAAGGGCGCGUAGGCGGAUUGCUUUGUCGGGCGUGAAAUUCCAGGGCUUAACCUUGGGGCUGCGUUCGAGACGGGUGAUCUUGAGUUCGGAAGAGGGUCGUGGAAUUCCCAGUGUAGAGGUGAAAUUCGUAGAUAUUGGGAAGAACACCGGUGGCGAAGGCGGCGACCUGGUCCGAUACUGACGCUGAGGCGCGAAAGCGUGGGGAGCAAACAGG
This 253-nucleotide ribosomal RNA is filed under the name uncultured bacterium. Its description in RNAcentral is "partial 16S ribosomal RNA". It matches the Rfam family "Bacterial small subunit ribosomal RNA", at positions 524 to 776 of the family's 1533-position model. The record is from RNAcentral.